GACGAACGCUGGCGGCGUGCUUAACACAUGCAAGUCGAACGGAAAGGCCCUGCUUUUGUGGGGUUCUCGAGUGGCGAACGGGUGUGAAACACGUGAGUAACCUGCCCUUGACUUUGGGAUAACUUCAGGAAACUGGGGCUAAUACCGGAUAGGAGCUCCUGCUGCAUGGUGGGGGUUGGAAAGUUUCGGCGGUUGGGGAUGGACUCGCGGCUUAUCAGCUUGUUGGUGGGGUAGUGGCUUACCAAGGCUUUGACGGGUAGCCGGCCUGAGAGGGUGACCGGCAACAUUGGGACUGAGAUACGGCCCAGACUCCUACGGGAGGCAGCAGUGGGGAAUAUUGCACAAUGGGCGGAAGCCUGAGGCAGCAACGCCGCGGGCGGGAUGACGGCCUUCGGGUUGUAAACCGCUUUCGCCUGUGACGAAGCGUGAGUGACGGUAAUGGGUAAAGAAGCACCGGCUAACUACGUG
Molecule: ribosomal RNA, 468 nt
Filed under: uncultured bacterium
Lineage: Bacteria
Description: partial 16S ribosomal RNA
Rfam family: Bacterial small subunit ribosomal RNA
Source: RNAcentral